This is a long non-coding RNA of Anguilla rostrata (American eel), 3047 nucleotides long. RefSeq lists it as uncharacterized. The record is from RefSeq and is a predicted model, not a curated record. NCBI's taxonomy places the organism in Eukaryota, Metazoa, Chordata, Actinopteri, Anguilliformes, Anguillidae. The transcript is spliced from 3 exons.
CCCCCUCGGGUAUCCUCAGCCGGAACAGGCAUUUGAUGUGUGACACCUCAAGCACACCUGAUGCAACUAAUCAAACCCCUUGACUAGUUCAUUCCAGUAAUUUCCAUUUUUCAGCGUUUUCGUCUAUCAGUUUUAUCUUUUUGGAGACAGGCCUUAUAUGAAAACUUGAAUUUGAAAGAGAAACAGGAAGGUCUAGAGAGCACACCAGUAAAUAUGAGUCGGUUCUGGACCUAAAAUAUAUAAAUAUAGCUAAUGCUGUUUCCACCAAGGAGAUUCCGGCUGAGUUUAGAUAAUAAUAACUCUCCAUUAGUUCAAAAUUCUACGUAAAGAACCAGGCUUUAUUGAGAAACCGUUAUCCUCUGAAACCAUUCGGAAUACAUUGAGUUCCUGUGGACUCUCAGUGCUGAUGGAUCACCGAAAUUGUUCGCGGAUUGUUUGCCCUCAGAAGACGCAGGUGUCCAGGACACUUAUCAACAAUGGAAGUUCCCGUGGUAACGGCUGAUUGCCGGUUCCCCUUGAGAUGGGGUGAGGGUUUAUGCGUCAACCCCCGUGGGGGGUGAGGUGGAGCAGAGCAUCAUCAUCAUCGUCAUCGUCGUCAUCAUCAUCAUCAUCACCACCAUUACCACCGUCAUCAUCAUUAUCGUCGAUGCAACGCAACAACUGCAACAAACCACAGAGAACUCCGCAGCGAGACGUGGGAGAGACGCCGUUCGGUGGAGUUGACAGAGCGGGAUGUUUGAGGCACGAAAGUUAGGGGGUGAGGCGCCCUUCUCCUGACUGAAGGACAGAAUCUUGUUCGGAGCGGCGUGAGGUUUAACAGGUAUGUGAUAAAAGCCAGACUGAAACAUGCGCUGCUCUCCUGCCAAUCACGCCCGGAGUUUCCUGUCUUCUCCAUACUCCCUGCUUUGUCAGUCCCGGCGAUGGUGGGCUGCCAUGGAAUUUGAAUUCGGGCUUCGGGGAGCAGCGGGUCGCGGUCCUGUUACUUCUCUCUCUCCCUUUCCGGAACAUUCUUUGUCAGGAGUCAAAGCAAGCAGAGACCUCAGGCCUGACCUUCGACCCCCGCAGACACUUGCACUGCAUCAGUAGGAUUUGUGGAAUUUAGCAGCCCGGACAACCUGUUUCCAAAUUUUCCACGGGAGCUGAGAAAUUCUCCAGCUAAAUAUGUCCAUGAACAACACCUCAAACUCAAACAUUGGGAAAAUGUAACAAAGGGUUCAGUCUGUUAACUGCAUAUGAUUCUCAGGUGACCAACAGACUUAAAAAUGCACACACAGCUGAUUUAUUAUCUACUUAAAAGUGGCUUUUGGAUUUCAACUAAUUGCAGCGUAUUGCUUUGUUUUCUCUUUUUAGAAUUUUAUUUACUUUUAUUUAUAUUAUUAUCAAGACUCGAUAUCCGACUCGAUCAAAGUUCAGCUCUUGCUCAGGUCAUAUUCUUUGUCUCUUUGCUUCCAUAAAAUGUGAUAGUACGCAAUUCUGUUAUAUAAUAUUUGUAUAUUCAUAUUGGAAGUAAAACCAUACAUGGCUUUGAUGGCUUUGCAGCAACCACUUGGGACGUGAUUGUGUCUGAAUUAGUAGGUCUGGUCUGGCUGCCGGCACAGAAGAAUGAAGCGAAGGCUUUUAAGCAUAAAGGAACAGUGCUUAUCUUUAAACGAGAGCCCCCGUUUUGAGUGCCUGCGCCCCUAAACCUGGUCUGAACGCGGUUCUCGUGUCUCUUCCCACGGCGUGAGAAACGGCCUGACUCGGCUCAGAAGUCGCUCUUGCACUAAAGACGCUGGUCUUUGCGUCAGAAGUAGGUUUUGUACCUGGCUUACCGCGCUAAUUAGCCUUCAUCUGGGCAGCCAUUUACGGAGCCGUCAAGUGCCUGCAUUCAUAAGCGGUUCCCACUCAAACCUCUCUGCCCUUGGCUGGCUCUUUGGAUUAGCGCCCGUUUUGUCUGAUAUCCUGAUUACAGCAUAUUCCUGCGCAACUUUCAGAAAAAAAGUCAUCAAACGUGAGAGUAUUAAACAACAGGGAUAUAGUUUUUAAUGUUCAUGAGAACAUACUACACAGUAAAAUGUUCGGUGUUAAUUCAGCAUUACCAGAUGAUAAAAUUUGGUCCCCAUUGGGACAAAAUGUUACUUGUUAGUUGAAUUCACACUGGACGUUUUACUGUGCACUGAUCUUUAAAAAAUAUCAUAUCGCCACUUUGCUGAAAUCUGAACAGGCCUUGGCAGUAAUUUAAAAUACUGCUGCUCACUGGGGGAGCAGCCUCCCUGCACAUACAUUUAAUUGAGAGCCUGGAAUAAAUAAAAGGUAGGAUAUUAAAUAUGGAUAUUAAUAUAUUAUAUAUUAAAAGGAAAGAAGAAUCAAAUCCGGGGCACCGUCUCUCAGUGGAUUAUGUUGAAUGACUCUGAAAGUGGGUUUAUGUUUGUAUUUGUAGAGAGAUUGUGGGUAUGGCUGACACAGAUUCUACCCUAGGACAAGUUCAUUGACUGAUCAUAGCCGGGUAAUAUGAGGCACUGUUUGUUCGACACAGUCUCCUUCUCCGUGAGCGCGUUCCUGUGUAGUCUGGAUCGAUGGCUCCUUGCAGAUGAUUCUCAGUGAAUGUCUGUUGUACGUCUGACCUGGAACCCUUUCCUGCAACACCAGGUUAACUGCCCCCCCCCUCCUGUCUGUUCAUGCCCAGCUGUUCAGUAAGCAACAUAGGCUGCUUAUAGAAUUCUGAAAUGUUCUGUGUGGAAGAAUGCUAGACAUUGCGUCACUAUGUGCUUGUGGAUUUGUGUUUUUUUUAUAUUUUAAUUUUCAUUUUUAUACGCGUGCUGUUUAAUGUUUGUUGUACAUUAAGUACCACCACUAGCCAUUUAGAUCCUUUGUGUAUCUUUACUGAGCUUUUUUAAAAUGACUGUUACAGUCCUUUCGCUGUUCUUCUCUUAUAUAUAAUUCAUGGAGUUUUGCUGAAUUUUUGGCAAAACCCUGAAGGUUGCGCAGCACACCUACGUUUUGUUCUUCACCUAUACCUUCAGGUAUACCUUCAGCACACACAAUAGCAGUAAAACUUCUGUAAACUC